RNAcentral lists this ribosomal RNA (468 nucleotides) under uncultured bacterium. Its description in RNAcentral is "partial 16S ribosomal RNA". It matches the Rfam family "Bacterial small subunit ribosomal RNA", at positions 28 to 507 of the family's 1533-position model. The record is from RNAcentral.
GACGAACGCUGGCGGCGUGCUUAACACAUGCAAGUCGAACGGUGAAGCUCCAGCUUGCUGGAGUGGAUCAGUGGCGAACGGGUGAGUAACACGUGAGCAACCUGCCCCUGACUCUGGAAUAAGCGCUGGAAACGGCGUCUAAUACUGGAUACGAGAAGGGUCCGCAUGGGCACUUUCUGGAAAGUUUUUCGGUUGGGGAUGGGCUCGCGGCCUAUCAGCUUGUUGGUGAGGUAAUGGCUCACCAAGGCGACGACGGGUAGCCGGCCUGAGAGGGCGACCGGCCACACUGGGACUGAGACACGGCCCAGACUCCUACGGGAGGCAGCAGUGGGGAAUAUUGCACAAUGGGCGAAAGCCUGAUGCAGCGACGCCGCGUGAGGGAUGACGGCCUUCGGUUUGUAAACCUCUUUCAGCAGGGAAGAAGCGAAAGUGACGGUACCUGCAGAAGAAGCACCGGCUAACUACGUG